GAUGAACGCUAGCGAUAGGCUUAACACAUGCAAGUCGAGGGGCAGCAUGGUCUUAGCUUGCUAAGGCUGAUGGCGACCGGCGCACGGGUGCGUAACGCGUAUGCAACUUGCCUCACAGAGGGGGAUAACCCGUCGAAAGACGGACUAAUACCGCGUACACUUGGGAUAGGGCAUCCUGACCCAAGGAAAUGAAAUUCGCUGUGAGAUAGGCAUGCGUCCCAUUAGCUAGUUGGUGAGGUAACGGCUCACCAAGGCGACGAUGGGUAGGGGAACUGAGAGGUUGAACCCCCACACUGGUACUGAGACACGGACCAGACUCCUACGGGAGGCAGCAGUGAGGAAUAUUGGUCAAUGGGCGAGAGCCUGAACCAGCCAAGUCGCGUGAAGGAUGACUGUCUUAUGGAUUGUAAACUUCUUUUAUACGGGAAUAACAAGAGCCACGUGUGGCUCCCUGCAUGUACCGUAUGAAUAAGCAUCGGCUAACUCCGUG
This 490-nucleotide ribosomal RNA is filed under the name uncultured bacterium. Its description in RNAcentral is "partial 16S ribosomal RNA". It matches the Rfam family "Bacterial small subunit ribosomal RNA", at positions 28 to 507 of the family's 1533-position model. The record is from RNAcentral.